Long non-coding RNA from Sinocyclocheilus rhinocerous, 143 nucleotides. RefSeq lists it as uncharacterized. Lineage: Eukaryota; Metazoa; Chordata; Actinopteri; Cypriniformes; Cyprinidae. The record is from RefSeq and is a predicted model, not a curated record. The transcript has 3 exons.
GCCAUCUUUUGAGUGUGCUCUGCUGUCGCCGCCAUUUUGUGAGCGUACUCUGGUACAGCCGCCAUUUCAGUCACAGACACUGUGUCGCGUUCUUCCUCCGUGACACCCACAGUAAACAAAGAGCCAACAGUCAACAAAGCAUA